GUGGUGGUGGUGGUAGUGGUGGGGUGUCUUGGAUGGUGGCUAUGGCGUUUUGUUUAGGCAUUGCUGGUGUGGGACUUGCUUUUGGCUUUAGAUAUUUGUUUUGAGUUUGUUUUUCUUCUGUCUUCUCUGUUACUGCACUUCAGGGAAAAACAUUUUGUAAAGGUUACAGCCAUAGCCAUAGCCAGGGGGAAAAAGGGCUAUUUAUGAUCGGAUUAAUGUUAUUUUAUAUAUUGAAAAAAAAAAAAUCUAUAGAACUCAAUACAGUAAAUUAUGAAGAUCAAACUCAGUACUUUUCUUUCCCCUAAGUUUUUUCUUCCCUUUCUUAAUCUUGUUUUGGUUGAAUAGUUUGCG
RNAcentral lists this unclassified non-coding RNA (351 nucleotides) under Hevea brasiliensis (rubber tree). The record is from RNAcentral. Lineage: Eukaryota; Viridiplantae; Streptophyta; Magnoliopsida; Malpighiales; Euphorbiaceae.